GGCGAACGGGUGAGUAAUGCAUCGGAACGUGCCCAGUAGUGGGGGAUAGCCCGGCGAAAGCCGGAUUAAUACCGCAUACGACCUAUGGGUGAAAGCGGGGGACCGUAAGGCCUCGCGCUAUUGGAGCGGCCGAUGUCAGAUUAGCUAGUUGGUGGGGUAAAGGCCUACCAAGGCGACGAUCUGUAGCUGGUCUGAGAGGACGACCAGCCACACUGGGACUGAGACACGGCCCAGACUCCUACGGGAGGCAGCAGUGGGGAAUUUUGGACAAUGGGCGCAAGCCUGAUCCAGCCAUGCCGCGUGCGGGAAGAAGGCCUUCGGGUUGUAAACCGCUUUUGUCAGGGAAGAAACGCUCUGGGCUAAUACCCUGGGGUAAUGACGGUACCUGAAGAAUAAGCACCGGCUAACUACGUGCCAGCAGCCGCGGUAAUACGUAGGGUGCAAGCGUUAAUCGGAAUUACUGGGCGUAAAGCGUGCGCAGGCGGUUAUGCAAGACAGAUGUGAAAUCCCCGGGCUCAACCUGGGAACUGCAUUUGUGACUGCAUAGCUGGAGUACGGUAGAGGGGGAUGGAAUUCC
This 577-nucleotide ribosomal RNA is filed under the name uncultured Leptothrix sp. RNAcentral's name for it is "bacterial SSU rRNA". It matches the Rfam family "Bacterial small subunit ribosomal RNA", at positions 97 to 670 of the family's 1533-position model. Lineage: Bacteria; Pseudomonadati; Pseudomonadota; Betaproteobacteria; Burkholderiales; Sphaerotilaceae. The record is from RNAcentral.